UUAGAUUAAGUUAUUAAGGGCGCACGGUGGAUGCCUUGGCACUAGAAGCCGAUGAAGGACGUUACUAACGACGAUAUGCUUUGGGUAGCUGUAAGUAAGCGUUGAUCCAGAGAUUUCCGAAUGGGGGAACCCAGCACAAGUUAUGUUGUGUUAUCGACAAGUGAAUUCAUAGCUUGUCAGAAGGCAGACCCGGAGAACUGAAACAUCUUAGUACCCGGAGGAAGAGAAAGAAAAUUCGAUUCCCUGAGUAGCGGCGAGCGAAACGGGAAGAGCCCAAACCAAUAAGCUUGCUUAUUGGGGUUGUAGGACACUCUAUACGGAGUUACAAAGGAAUAUAUUAAACGAAUCAUCUGGAAAGUUGAAUCAAAGAAGGUAAUAAUCCUGUAGUUGAAAAUAUAUUCUCUCUUGAGUGGAUCCUGAGUACGACGGAGCACGUGAAAUUCCGUCGGAAUCUGGGAGGACCAUCUCCUAAGGCUAAAUACUCUCUAGUGACCGAUAGUGAACCAGUACCGUGAGGGAAAGGUGAAAAGUACCCCGGAAGGGGAGUGAAAGAGAACUUGAAACCGUGUGCUUACAAGUAGUCAGAGCCCGUUAAUGGGUGAUGGCGUGCCUUUUGUAGAAUGAACCGGCGAGUUACGAUCUGAUGCAAGGUUAAGCAGAAAAUGUGGAGCCGUAGCGAAAGCGAGUCUGAAUAGGGCGUAUAGUAUUUGGUCGUAGACCCGAAACCAGGUGAUCUACCCAUGGUCAGGUUGAAGUUCAGGUAACACUGAAUGGAGGACCGAACCGACUUACGUUGAAAAGUGAGCGGAUGAACUGUGGGUAGCGGAGAAAUUCCAAUCGAACUUGGAGAUAGCUGGUUCUCUCCGAAAUAGCUUUAGGGCUAGCCUCAAGUGAUGAUUAUUGGAGGUAGAGCACUGUUUGGACGAGGGGCCCCUCUCGGGUUACCGAAUUCAGACAAACUCCGAAUGCCAAUUAAUUUAACUUGGGAGUCAGAACAUGGGUGAUAAGGUCCGUGUUCGAAAGGGAAACAGCCCAGACCACCAGCUAAGGUCCCAAAAUAUAUGUUAAGUGGAAAAGGAUGUGGCGUUGCCCAGACAACUAGGAUGUUGGCUUAGAAGCAGCCAUCAUUUAAAGAGUGCGUAAUAGCUCACUAGUCGAGUGACACUGCGCCGAAAAUGUACCGGGGCUAAACAUAUUACCGAAGCUGUGGAUUGUCCUUUGGACAAUGGUAGGAGAGCGUUCUAAGGGCGUUGAAGCAUGAUCGCAAGGACAUGUGGAGCGCUUAGAAGUGAGAAUGCCGGUGUGAGUAGCGAAAGACGGGUGAGAAUCCCGUCCACCGAUUGACUAAGGUUUCCAGAGGAAGGCUCGUCCGCUCUGGGUUAGUCGGGUCCUAAGCUGAGGCCGACAGGCGUAGGCGAUGGAUAACAGGUUGAUAUUCCUGUACCACCUAUAAUCGUUUUAAUCGAUGGGGGGACGCAGUAGGAUAGGCGAAGCGUACGAUUGGAUUGUACGUCUAAGCAGUGAGAUUGAGUGUUAGGCAAAUCCG
This 1546-nucleotide ribosomal RNA is filed under the name Staphylococcus sp. HMSC074B09. RNAcentral describes it as "bacterial LSU rRNA". It matches the Rfam family "Bacterial large subunit ribosomal RNA", at positions 1 to 1544 of the family's 2925-position model. Lineage: Bacteria; Bacillati; Bacillota; Bacilli; Caryophanales; Staphylococcaceae. The record is from RNAcentral.